RNAcentral lists this ribosomal RNA (1954 nucleotides) under Acinetobacter baumannii. RNAcentral's name for it is "partial 23S ribosomal RNA". It matches the Rfam family "Bacterial large subunit ribosomal RNA", at positions 1 to 1991 of the family's 2925-position model. Lineage: Bacteria; Pseudomonadati; Pseudomonadota; Gammaproteobacteria; Moraxellales; Moraxellaceae. The record is from RNAcentral.
AGUCAAGUAAUUAAGUGCAUGUGGUGGAUGCCUUGGCAGUCAGAGGCGAUGAAAGACGUGAUAGCCUGCGAAAAGCUCCGGGGAGGCGGCAAAUAUCCUUUGAUCCGGAGAUGUCUGAAUGGGGGAACCCACCUACUUUAAGGUAGGUAUUGCAACAUGAAUACAUAGUGUUGCAAGGCGAACGAGGGGAAGUGAAACAUCUCAGUACCCUUAGGAAAAGAAAUCAAUUGAGAUUCCCUCAGUAGCGGCGAGCGAACGGGGAUCAGCCCAUUAAGUUAUGUGUGUUUUAGUGGAACGCUCUGGGAAGUGCGAACGUAGAGGGUGAUAUUCCCGUACACGAAAGGGCACACAUAAUGAUGACGAGUAGGGCGAGGCACGUGAAACCUUGUCUGAAUAUGGGGGGACCAUCCUCCAAGGCUAAAUACUCCUGACUGACCGAUAGUGAACCAGUACCGUGAGGGAAAGGCGAAAAGAACCCCUGUGAGGGGAGUGAAAUAGAUCCUGAAACCGCAUGCAUACAAGCAGUGGGAGCACCUUCGUGGUGUGACUGCGUACCUUUUGUAUAAUGGGUCAGCGACUUAUAUUCAGUAGCGAGGUUAACCGUAUAGGGGAGCCGUAGAGAAAUCGAGUCUUAAUAGGGCGUUUAGUUGCUGGGUAUAGACCCGAAACCAGGCGAUCUAUCCAUGAGCAGGUUGAAGGUUGGGUAACACUAACUGGAGGACCGAACCCACUGUCGUUGAAAAGCCAGGGGAUGACUUGUGGAUAGGGGUGAAAGGCUAAUCAAGCCUGGUGAUAGCUGGUUCUCCCCGAAAGCUAUUUAGGUAGCGCCUCGGACGAAUACCAUAGGGGGUAGAGCACUGUUUCGGCUAGGGGGUCAUCCCGACUUACCAAACCGAUGCAAACUCCGAAUACCUAUGAGUACUAUCCGGGAGACAGACUGCGGGUGCUAACGUCCGUAGUCAAGAGGAAAACAAUCCAGACCGCCAGCUAAGGCCCCAAAAUCAUAGUUAAGUGGGAAACGAUGUGGGAAGGCAUAGACAGCUAGGAGGUUGGCUUAGAAGCAGCCACCCUUUAAAGAAAGCGUAAUAGCUCACUAGUCGAGUCGGCCUGCGCGGAAGAUGUAACGGGGCUAAAACUAUGUGCCGAAGCUGCGGAUGUAUACUUUGUAUACGUGGUAGGGGAGCGUUCUGUAAGCCGAUGAAGGUGUGUUGAGAAGCAUGCUGGAGGUAUCAGAAGUGCGAAUGCUGACGUGAGUAACGACAAAACGGGUGAAAAACCCGUUCGCCGAAAGACCAAGGGUUCCAGUCCAACGUUAAUCGGGGCUGGGUGAGUCGACCCCUAAGGCGAGGCCGAAAGGCGUAGUCGAUGGGAAAAUGGUUAAUAUUCCAUUACUUCUGUGUAAUGCGAUGAGAGGACGGAGAAGGCUAAAUCAGCCUGGCGUUGGUUGUCCAGGUGAAAGGAUGUAGGCAUGUAUCUUAGGCAAAUCCGGGGUACUCUAUGCUGAGAUCUGAUAGCAAGCUGUACUUGUACAGCGAAGUGGUUGAUGCCAUGCUUCCAGGAAAAGUCUCUAAGCUUCAGUUACACAGGAAUCGUACCCGAAACCGACACAGGUGGUCAGGUCGAGUAGACCAAGGCGCUUGAGAGAACUCUGCUGAAGGAACUAGGCAAAAUGGUACCGUAACUUCGGGAGAAGGUACGCUGUUGUUGGUGAUGGAACUCGCUUCCUGAGCUGACGACAGCCGCAGAAACCAGGCCGCUGCAACUGUUUAUUAAAAACAUAGCACUCUGCAAACACGAAAGUGGACGUAUAGGGUGUGAUGCCUGCCCGGUGCUGGAAGGUUAAUUGAUGGGGUUAGCGUAAGCGAAGCUCUUGAUCGAAGCCCCAGUAAACGGCGGCCGUAACUAUAACGGUCCUAAGGUAGCGAAAUUCCUUGUCGGGUAAGUUCCGACCUGC